Long non-coding RNA from Folsomia candida, 465 nucleotides. RefSeq lists it as uncharacterized. The transcript is spliced from 2 exons. NCBI's taxonomy places the organism in Eukaryota, Metazoa, Arthropoda, Collembola, Entomobryomorpha, Isotomidae. The record is from RefSeq and is a predicted model, not a curated record.
GUACUCAGCAGUCGGACCCAAUCCAGUAUAGAAUUUAGUUUGAUUAACAAUCCAUUUAGAAAAAGAUAGUAUAGGAACACAACUACCUUAAUUUGGGGCAAAAUGAAUUUAAGCAUUUUGUUGGCAAUAAGUAUAAUUUUGGGCACUGGGAUAGUUCUGGGAAAUCCCGCUGAAGAAAAUGUAAAUAUACAUGAAGAGGCCCUCGCACUACCCGAUUGGAUGACACCCGGAUUCCCGGAUGGCAUCACUGCCCCUGAUAGAACUCAUUGCUACUUGACAGGGUGUUCCAACCCGUGGCCGAAAUGUCCAGGCGAUUACUACGAGACUAACAUUUACAGGUGCGGAUUUCCUAACAAGAAACGGCGCCGAUGCUGUAGACACUUUCCAGAUUUUCUUGCGCAAUAAAGCAGUAUUCUGGUUCAAUUAUGUAUAACCUUGAAAUAAAGAACGUUGUAGUAUCAAUAA